RNAcentral lists this long non-coding RNA (7678 nucleotides) under Cricetulus griseus (Chinese hamster). Its description in RNAcentral is "lncRNA (ENSCGRG00015042119.1)". The stretch from base 3381 to 3451 matches the Rfam family "mir-124 microRNA precursor family". Lineage: Eukaryota; Metazoa; Chordata; Mammalia; Rodentia; Cricetidae. The record is from RNAcentral.
GAGAGAGAGAGAGAGAGAGAGAGAGAGAGAGAGAGAGAGAGAGCAGAUUGACAAGUAUUAACUCCUAUUUAUUACAGAUCCUUGGACCAUACAUAGAAUGCUCAUUUGUCAGUUCAGAAAUAAUGAACUGUAUGCCCCCCCACACAAACUCACUUUUUCAGAAAAAAAUAAAAAGAGAAGAAAUGGAAUAAAAAAAACUUAAGGCCUAUACACCAUUCUCUGUUCUCUUCCUUUUACAUAAUCUCAAACUGCUAGGAAGCCAAAUUACUCCAGAAAAAAACUUGGCUUCAAAUUUUCCCAAAGCACCCUGAGCUUGUUCCCUAAAAUGAAUCAAAACCAUGGACAGCGAACUAAUUAUUUAGCAAACAGACUGCUGCAAAAUUGUGUGUGGAAGGAAAGUUUACCUUCAUAGUAUCUGUUGGAGGCAAAACAAUUUUUAAUAUAUUUUAUAACAAUCCAGAUUAAAAUUUGAAUUUAAACUAAAAUUAGGUUUUGAAUUUAAAUCAUAAUGAAUACACAUUCUACCAAGUUUUAAAGAAAUGAUAGGCUACAUGUUCAUUUUUUUUGUCCUUUCUACAGGUAUAAAUUCCUUAUUCAACUAAAGGUCAUUUCUAUCUUUUGCUGCUCAUAAGUGACAAUUUUAAAUGCACAAAUUUUGUUGUGGACUAUUCUUUGUAAGAUUUAAAGCAAGUGAGACAGGGAAAAUUUACUAUUUUGCUUGGGAUUAGCUGCAUGACACUAGAGCAAAUUAAGUAGAUUUUUAUCAGUGACUAGGUUUCUAAAUGCAUAGAAUUGGAAAAAUUAAAUGCCACUUUGAUAGACAGGGAUAAUGUGAACGGAGAUAUGAUGCAGCUCCACCGUUUACCCUUGGACAGGCGUGGUAGCCCAUAACUAACAGUACAAUAGUUAGACAAACAUUUAUUUUUUUUCUCAAGAAACCAACAGACUUUCUCAUACAUAUUGAUACAGUUUAGGGCAAAGGAUUGAUUCUCUUUGGCUCUGUGUCAAAUAGCCAUGUUGUUUUGUGCAUAGGUUUAAUUACCUUAACCUUUUCAGAAAUAAACUUCAUCAAAAUUGUUUUGCUUUGGGUUAUAUAAUGCAUUUAAAACUGCUCAUUUAAAUUUCCUCUUUCAAUCCCCAUGACAUCUGACUUAUUUUGUUACACGUCUUCUUUGUGACCAGUGAAGGCCUGGAAGAUCAUAUGAAAUCAUAAAUAAAUUAAAAAAAUUAUUUAAACUUAAAAUUAGAACGAUGUUGACAUUUGCAAGAAAAUAAAUUAUUGAUCUUUAGCCAUCAUGCUUAACCAUAGAAUGAAACUGCAAGUCUUUGAAAUGUCCUCGUUUCUUAGCCGUGAUGAUAGAUAUAUUUUAGACACCCGUAUUGAAAAACAAACAAUCAAAGCAACACUUUCAGAGCAUUUGAGAAUAUUCAAUGACAUUGGAUGGUAUCUCGAUCGUCUCCAUGAUGGGAUUUUGUGGUUCUUGUAAUGGUGGUGCAGGGCUGGGUGGAAAGCAGACAUAGUUUGGAAGGGAGUCAUUGUUUAGGAAGGCAUCCCAUAGCGGUUGCAUUCGUGAGAUUAAGCACAAAUUUAGACCUUGGCCUGGGGAAAAAAUGAUUUUGGGUUUGAGAUAAGCCUUGGACACAGAAUUAAGAGGUGGUCCCUCAUCUGGAGCAUAGCUGUGUGUAGCCUGAGGUACUUAUUGUUCUUGCCCAAGCCCUUGGAUGCCAGAUCCUAGAUGAAGAAUGAGAGAGUAGUUCACUGUCUCCAUUUUAAGGAACGGAAACUAAGUGCGGUAUCUUGGAUUUGCUUUGAGUCAGCCUGGACCUUGACAGGGGUCUGGGGGGUGCAAGGGGAGGGCUAAGGAGACUUAGAAGCUAUGUCUUGGGGAGUUGUCUUGGGGCCAGCUUGUUGGAGCCCAGGAGAGUGUAGGCAAGGGCAAGGCAGUUGCCCUUUGCUUUGCCCAGGCUCGGCUCCAGGGGGUGCGCCUUCUGCGGCUCUUUGGUUUCAAGGACACAGCGAGCUGUUCAGGACUUUGGGAGCCAACAUCUGUCUGACUGGUGACGUCAGCAGCCCGUGUAAUCCUCUUGUGCUGAAGGCAGAUGCCUUAUUUGUUUGGCUGGAGCGAGCCAUUAAUCCCUAAUUCUGGAUCAGCAAGCGAGGGGGAAAGACCGGACCGCUACGAUCCACCCCCUCCCUACCCCCACCGCCCACCCUAAAGCACCUUAUACCGUGGAAGCCGCUCAGCCUCCUCUUUCCUCCGAGAACACACCGAGCAGCGCCUGAAAACGCUUUGGUCCUCUGCAGGGGAGCGUUCUGGGGUCUCUGCACAAAACCUGCUUUUGAGCUCUUUGGCUUCCUUCGAGCGAGUUGGAGCCCGUCCUUUCCCCUGGCCCACCCACCCGCAAGGGAUGCUGUGAAAAGAGCUGCUGCCCACCGCCUCCGGUCCGCUGUCCAGAGGGCUCCGCCCAUAGAGGUCAACUCCCCUCACUCUUCCUCUUUCCAGCUCGCCCUCCCUCCGCCGAGCCCAGACUCGGGUCUCCUGACUUUUGCCGCAGAGAGUGCACGUCUGCUGCGCUGCCCUUAACCUACGCCGGGAGCGGGCUCAGACCCGAUCUCUGCUCUCCAGGGCCAGAGGAAGCCCGAGCAAGCAGCCUUUUCUCCCCGCAGUAAAACCAUAGCCAGACCAGAUGCGCCCCAGCUCUCUCGGGACUCGGCAGGUGCUGUUGAGUUAAUUUUUCCGCCAUACAAAGAAGGAUGACCCAGCCCUCCCUGGGAUUCUGAUCUUUUCCCAAAAAUUCCCAACCAAAAUCAGGGUAUCAGAGGCAUAUUCGUGUGUUUGUCGGACAUACAAACACGCAUGUUUAUAUUCGAUUUUAUCUGCUAGAUUUCUUCUCUGACAGUAGGAGACUACUGACAAAGGUUUCUUCAGCGGAACACUCAUGGCGUGGUCUUUUAAGACUUUUCUUUCCUUACAAAUGUCUUAGGAAGGGAUUCAGGGCAAACCAACUCAGUUAAUUGCCUUUAGUAAAAUAACACGAUUAGGAAAUUAGAUCUGUACCAGAGGGGUAAUUAACUUCGAUCCACGUCAUCAUUUAAAAACUAGAUUAUAGACAUAUGUAUGGAUUUUAGGUGCGCUGCAAAUGGCAUGCAGAUGUAUGCAUAAGCAUACAGGCUCAUGCACCAUCUACUCUUCCACCACACAGACUAAUUAAGGGCAACUCUAGCAGAUGUGGCAGGAGGAAAGCUGAGCUGGGUGCACUGAGUUAAGACCCUGGGGGUAGGGACUUCAAGCUUGGAACUCCAGGGGAGGGUGAAGGGCAAAGAGGAAAGUGUGAUAGUUGCAAUGAGUCAGUUGCUUCUGGAUCAAGAUCAGAGACUCUGCCCUCCGUGUUCACAGCGGACCUUGAUUUAAUGUCAUACAAUUAAGGCACGCGGUGAAUGCCAAGAGCGGAGCCUACGGACUGCACUUGAAGGACAUCAGAGAGACUCAGGGUCAGGAAGGGUGCGGAGAAACAAUUGCAGGCCUCAUGAAGGGAGUUAGAAUGAACCCAUCCUGUGAGGCAUAAGGACCCCUCGCAUUGAUUCAGAUUCUUUAGAAUGCGAGACAGUCAUAUGUUUUUCAGCGAGAAUCCGGGAAACCCUCAUGCAUUUCCCCAAGGGGAAUAUUACAGGUUUCAUUGACAGCUGUCAGACAGCGGUAGCUCCUAUUGGUGCAAACGGUCUAGAGACCCUGCAUUCCGAAAGCUUUGGUCUUUUCAAAACAGAUUGAGAGCUUGUCCUCAAUCCUGGGCCAGGUUGGGAAAACAAAGUGUAUGAGGAGGUAUAGCCUCCAGACCACAUUGCGCAAAACCCUCAACUGACUCAAUCAUCUGUGGAAAUUGGAGCAUCCCGCCCCGGUAGCCCUUGACUUGUCGGGUUUUGAGAGACUAAGGCAAAGCCCUUGCAAUACCCAAAUCAGUCAAAGUUGUGAAAUAAGGGGAAAGACCAAGCUGGAAACUCGGGGACUUGGAAAAUUAAUUUAUUUGGAAGACCAUGGGGGUAGACCUAGUAGAUAGAUCCACUCCACAACCUUGGAGCCUAAGAAAACCAAGGCUAAGGAGAAAGCCUUGAUAGAAGUCUUUGUUCUGUAGUGGCCUGCCUGGCCUGGGAACAAAGGCGAGGCCGGGAAAAGAUGCACCAAAGUGGCCGCGCCCUCUGCGCCUUGCGCUGUCCGUGGUGCUGACCGGAUCCCCUUCUUCCUCCGCUACCCAUAAUUCUGCAAGUAAGGCAAUAGAAUUGCUUCUUCCCUCCCUAAAAAAAUCCAGGGUAUUAGGUAAUUUACAAAUUAAAAAUUGAGAUUCGUAAAGAUUGUAAACAUCUAAACGGAGUUUUACUGAAACCGUACACUCUGUUAUGACGAUCAGUUGAUUUGAGCUGAAACCGGAAUCCGAGUAGGGGACAAAACCUGCAAGAAAGAGAUGAAACAGAAGGAAAUUUUGUUUUGAUUUGUUUUGUUUUAAAUCAAAACCCUGAAAACAGAGACACAAGUUCUCAGUUGGGGAUCGUAGCGCGGAUGAGGUUACCAAAGGUAUCUCUCAAAUGACCCCAGAGUAUGCCUCAAGACAUAUUAGAGAGAAUAAAACUGGACUGAUGUGGUGACCAAGGCAAGCAGGAGUAAAGCAGCCUGCAACCACUGUAUAGGCUCUCAGCAUGGCUCUGAACAGGGUAGCCUCCCUAAGUGACUUCUGAGGCCAAGACCCACAAAGCAAUGCGUCCCUGAUGCUCUGGAGCUGGCAGACAGCAUCACCUCUCAAGGAGACACUGCAGGCCCAGAAGGCCUGACUCCCGCAGUGCGGGAAAGACCACAAUGCAGAACUCUCCUUCUCAUAGCUACCCUGGACCAGAGGUCCAGAGACAGACAAAAUUACCAAAUUCCAUAUAAUUAAGAUUUGCCUCAGGAAUUGUGGGUCAGACGUGUCUGAAGUAAUGCAUUCAAUAUGUAUUUAAAACAUCCAGCAUAUUUCAGCAUUCUAACUUAAACACUGAGAAUAUUGUAUAUAAACAAUAAAACAUUAAGUUCUACAGUCAUAUUUGCAAUGAAAAGAGAAAUAGGUAAUAAAUUGAUUUGUGUCCAGCCUAGGUUCAGAAAAAAAUGUUCCAUGCUUGAAUUUCUUUAUAGAUUCACACCAUAAAUGCUGCCAAGCAUUAUCCAUAGAUAAACUGAACCAGGUUGUACAAAAGAGACAGUGACAGCAAUUUUUUUGCAGGUAUAGAAUGGGCUAUAUAUGGACAGUGGCAUAAAAGAUAUGUUUUUAUGACAUUCUCUUAAAAACUGAAUGGCAGAAAUGUAUCCACUGACUCAGGAAAUAAAAGAGGUCAGAAACAAUAUCCUUGGUGGUCUAAUUCCUCGCUUCAUCCUGAAAGGUGGAUUUUAUUUGUCUUCUCAUUUUAAAAUCCUGUAAAUUAGCACUUUUAAAUGCACAAACUUUAGGUUUGUGUGUGAUUUCACACAAGAUGAGGGGACAGAGUUUGCAAACUGUGCUGGGAAAAGAGCUAUUUCAAACACAAAGAAGAUGGCUUUAGGAUGUUCCUCUUUUGUCAAUGAAAAACAGUCACCAGAAAUGGAAAUGGGCUUGAACCAUUGCAGGCUAUCGUAGAGGCUCCUAUUUCCUUCCGAUAUUCAUCCAGUUGUAUUGAUGGCCUCUAUCCACAGUCCGUUGAGCACUUCACAAAGCAAAAAGGGUCUAAGGCUUCAAAACAGUCCUAUUUGUGUUGUUUUAAUUCACAUUACAUAAUAACAACACACUAAUACUCCCUAACCUAAUCCUAUUUGUGUACGAUCAUCCUAAAUUCUGGUUUCAUAAAGCUUAAUUGGUUCAAAAAUAUAUUUUCUAAAUAGAAACAAAAUGUGUUACUAGAGAAUUAUAAAAGUAAGGGAACAAACACGUGAUUAAGUCAUCUGGUUACCAAGCGAAGUCCAGUGUGGUUAUUGAGUCAUAGUGUUUUUAUCCUUUUAAAACUAUUUAAUUUCAAUUUCUUAAAAAAUAAUCAUCUAGUUUAAUGUCCAUUACAAAAUUUUCUUGCUGUGAAAUUCUGUGCUCAGCGGUUUUCCAGAAAAACAACCCAGGUGGACAAUUAGCGAGCUUUGGUGCAAAGGACCAUGGGAGUCCUUCGGCAAUCACAACUUUCAUCUAGUGGUCUGAAAUGAGAGCUUCUCGGAAUAAUUUAGGAACAGCUUGACCCAUUGAGAUGCUCCUGGACAACCCUCUUGGGAAAUAGUUUCUUUCCUUCCAGGGAACAAGAUGCUAGCUCAGGGAACAGAGAGGUAUCUGGUGUCAACAAUGCCAGCGCGCCCUCUGCUGGGCCUCAAGAAACAGCACAUGUGGUUACAGAUGCCAGAUGGUACGAGUUUCAAUAAGCCCUUGAAACAUUAAGCUCUUAGGAUCAUUUAAUCUGUGGAAUUUAAAGGCUCCCAUCAUAUCCUCCGCCUGAAAGGCCACCCUAUUUUUAUUCUGAGAGCUCCUGGGAUGGCUAUCUUUUAUGCUAUAGGUACGAGAAGUCAUGUUUGAAGUUGACCGCUGUUGGUUGCUUUCUGUAUUCUUUUUGCAGUUCUUUUUACAGGAAAAUAUGAAAUUGUAAAUCUCAAGGAAAACAAUCUUUCUCCUCCUAGGCAUUUUAAUAUAAAAUAAUUUUCAUCUUUGAGCCCAUAUCUGAAAUUUAAUAAAGGUAGUUAUUUUUAUUUAGAAUAAAGAUACCAGGAACAAGGUGUUUACUUAAAGAAUUUCAAAACACAAAUAAGGUCUUAGAUAAAAAGCUAUUGUGUUGGUUUGUAUUAAUAUUAACUGCAAUUUUCGAAGACUACACUUUGGAAUAAGAAAGUAAGUUAUGUUUGAGGAAGAGGCUGAAAUGUUUGAGUCAUGUUAAUUAAUAUAUCCAGAAGUUCACCUUUGAAAUUUCCCUACUGAGUUAACAUCAGUCCUCAGGUGGCAAAGAUCCCAGAAACUAGACUACUGUGAGUAGAAUCACGAAGAAAGCAGAAAUGGAAGCACCAUGUGCAAACUUCUGAAUGUUUUCUGUGUUUUUCUGUAUGGAACAAUCUAUUAUAAAAUGAAAUGGAGGCUACUUCUAAAGCCUGUUUUUGAUUCCACAUCUUAUUGGCCUUAUAUUGAGUAAAAUAAUGUAUAGCUGUAUUAUCUCAUAACUGUGAGUUAGAAAUUCCAGCCUGUUGUACAACAGACACAUCUUUGCUGUAAAAGCUGUUACUAACUACAUCGGUGCUGAUAUAAUAAAAUGUUUCUAAUUAUAUGGUUGUUAAAUACGUCUUCUAAAAUAAAGUUCAGUUUAUUUUAUGAUGUCAGAAUGAAAUAGCUGUUUAAUAUCUUUCAUUUCAACACUAGAUUUUAAAUGAAAGCUCAUAAGACUAUCAUGAUGAAAUUUUAAGAAAAGCUAUCUGGUGUUACAAUUUGUUUUGGGGGGAACAACUCUUGAUUAAAUGUUAAACCAACUUAAAUAUUUAACCAAGUAUGUCAAAUUCCAUAUAGCAUAGGUAAGUCUCUCUUCUGAAAGCUGCUUAUUUGAAGCAAGCAUUACCAAUUUAUAGGAGAGUAAAUGAAGAAAAGAAAACUCUCACAAUUUCUAUAAUUUUAGUCUAAGCAUUAGAAAUGUGAAAUAUUUUAUUUUAUAUAAUUUAAAUUUCUU